This 340-nucleotide unclassified non-coding RNA is filed under the name Hevea brasiliensis (rubber tree). The record is from RNAcentral. Lineage: Eukaryota; Viridiplantae; Streptophyta; Magnoliopsida; Malpighiales; Euphorbiaceae.
UAUAUAUCUCGCAUUAUAACAGUAAUAUUGAAAGCUGAUAGACAAUUAUGCAACAAGUGGCACAGUGGGCUACUAAUACUAUACCAUCAAUUUCUUUCAACUUACGUUUUUGAACCUGGGAGAUAUGAGGGCCUGCAAUGGAUUCUUCAUCACCGUUGUAAACUCCUGCUUCUCAGACAGGUCAAUAUCAUCUCCAUCCACAGCUUUCCACUCAAAACUCCAAACCAAAUUAGCUAUAAAAUAUUCCAAAUGAAGCAUUGCUAAGCCAAAGCCAGGGCACAUCCUCCUUCCCGCUCCAAAUGGCAUCAUCCUUAUCUCCCUUCUUCCUGUUAUAUCAAAC